AUGUGAAAGCCUUGGGCUCAACCGAAGAAGUGCAUUGGAAACUGGGAGACUUGAGUGCAGAAGAGGACAGUGGAACUCCAUGUGUAGCGGUGAAAUGCGUAGAUAUAUGGAAGAACACCAGUGGCGAAGGCGGCUGUCUGGUCUGCAACUGACGCUGAGGCUCGAAAGCAUGGGUAGCGAACAGGAUUAGAUACCCUGGUAGUCCAUGCCGUAAACGAUGAUUACUAAGUGUUGGAGGGUUUCCGCCCUUCAGUGCUGCAGCUAACGCAUUAAGUAAUCCGCCUGGGGAGUACGACCGCAAGGUUGAAACUCAAAAGAAUUGACGGGGGCCCGCACAAGCGGUGGAGCAUGUGGUUUAAUUCGAAGCUACGCGAAGAACCUUACCAGGUCUUGACAUCUUCUGACAGUCUAAGAGAUUAGAGGUUCCCUUCGGGGACAGAAUGACAGGUGGUGCAUGGUUGUCGUCAGCUCGUGUCGUGAGAUGUUGGGUUAAGUCCCGCAACGAGCGCAACCCUUAUUACUAGUUGCCAGCAUUAAGUUGGGCACUCUAGUGAGACUGCCGGUGACAAACCGGAGGAAGGUGGGGACGACGUCAAAUCAUCAUGCCCCUUAUGACCUGGGCUACACACGUGCUACAAUGGAUGGUACAACGAGUCGCGAAACCGCGAGGUUAAGCUAAUCUCUUAAAACCAUUCUCAGUUCGGACUGUAGGCUGCAACUCGCCUACACGAAGUCGGAAUCGCUAGUAAUCGCGGAUCAGCAUGCCGCGGUGAAUACGUUCCCGGGCCUUGUACACACCGCCCGUCACACCAUGAGAGUUUGUAACACCCAAAGCCGGUGGGGUAACCUUUAGGAGCUAGCCGUCUA
RNAcentral lists this ribosomal RNA (867 nucleotides) under Pediococcus pentosaceus. RNAcentral describes it as "bacterial SSU rRNA". It matches the Rfam family "Bacterial small subunit ribosomal RNA", at positions 592 to 1459 of the family's 1533-position model. The record is from RNAcentral. Lineage: Bacteria; Bacillati; Bacillota; Bacilli; Lactobacillales; Lactobacillaceae.